AGAGUUUGAUCCUGGCUCAGAACGAACGCUGGCGGCGCGCCUAAUACAUGCAAGUCGAGCGAGAAGGUGUAGCAAUACACUUGUAAAGCGGCGAACGGGUGAGGAAUACAUGGGUAAUCUACCAUCGAGUGGGGAAUAACCAACCGAAAGGUUGGCUAAUACCGCGUACGCCUCCGAGUCUUCGGGUUCGGAGGGAAAGCUGCACUGUGAGUGUAGCGCUCUUUGAUGAGCUCAUGUCCUAUCAGCUUGUUGGUAGGGUAACGGCCUACCAAGGCUUUGACGGGUAGCUGGUCUGAGAGGACGAUCAGCCACACUGGCACUGCGACACGGGCCAGACUCCUACGGGAGGCAGCAGUAAGGAAUAUUGCGCAAUGGGCGAAAGCCUGACGCAGCGACGCCGCGUGGGGGAUGAAGGUCUUCGGAUUGUAAACCCCUUUCGGGAGGGAAGAUGGAACGAGCAAUCGUUCGGACGGUACCUCCAGAAGCAGCCACGGCCAACUUCGUGCCAGCAGCCGCGGUAAUACGAAGGUGGCAAGCGUUGUUCGGAUUCACUGGGCGUACAGGGUGUGUAGGCGGUUUGGUAAGCCUUCUGUUAAAGCUUCGGGCCCAACCCGGAAAGCGCAGAGGGUACUGCCAGGCUAGAGGGUGGGAGAGGAGCGCGGAAUUCCCGGUGUAGCGGUGAAAUGCGUAGAGAUCGGGAGGAAGGCCGGUGGCGAAGGCGGCGCUCUGGAACAUACCUGACGCUGAGACACGAAAGCGUGGGGAGCAAACAGGAUUAGAUACCCUGGUAGUCCACGCCC
This 800-nucleotide ribosomal RNA is filed under the name uncultured bacterium. RNAcentral's name for it is "bacterial SSU rRNA". It matches the Rfam family "Bacterial small subunit ribosomal RNA", at positions 8 to 802 of the family's 1533-position model. The record is from RNAcentral.